RNAcentral lists this ribosomal RNA (414 nucleotides) under uncultured Candidatus Saccharibacteria bacterium. Its description in RNAcentral is "bacterial SSU rRNA". It matches the Rfam family "Bacterial small subunit ribosomal RNA", at positions 958 to 1385 of the family's 1533-position model. The record is from RNAcentral. Lineage: Bacteria; Candidatus Saccharimonadota.
AACGCGAAGAACCUUACCCAGGCUUGACAUCCUUGGAAUUUCUCCGAAAGGAGAGAGUGCUUUAUUGAACCAAGUGACAGGUGCUGCAUGGCCGUCGUCAGCUCGUGUCGUGAGAUGUUUGGUUAAGUCCAUCAACGAGCGCAACCCUUAUAUUUAGUUGGAUUUUUCUAAAUAGACUGCCCUGGCAACAGGGAGGAAGGAGGGGAUGAUGUCAGGUCAGUAUUGCCCUUACGCCUGGGGCUACAAACACGCUACAAUGGCCGGUACAAAGGGCUGCCAAGUCGCGAGACGGAGCAAAUCCCAUCAAAGCCGGUCUCAGUUCGGAUUGCAGGCUGAAACUCGCCUGCAUGAAGUCGGAAUCGCUAGUAAUGGUAGGUCAGCUAUACUACCGUGAAUACGUUCCCGGGCCUUGUA